GACGAACGCUGGCGGCGUGCUUAACACAUGCAAGUCGAACGGUAAGGCCCUUCGGGGUACACGAGUGGCGAACGGGUGAGUAACACGUGGGUGAUCCGCCCUGCACUUCGGGAUAAGCCUGGGAAACUGGGUCUAAUACCGGAUAGGACCCUGGGAUGCAUGUCCUGGGGUGGAAAGCUUUUGCGGUGUGGGAUGGGCCCGCGGCCUAUCAGCUUGUUGGGGGGGUGAUGGCCUACCAAGGCGACGACGGGUAGCCGGCCUGAGAGGGUGACCGGCCACACUGGCACUGAGAUACGGCCCAGACUCCUACGGGAGGCAGCAGUGGGGAAUAUUGCACAAUGGGCGCAAGCCUGAUGCAGCGACGCCGCGUGAGGGAUGACGGCCUUCGGGUUGUAAACCUCUUUCAGCACCGACGAAGCGCAAGUGACGGUAGGUGCAGAAGAAGGACCGGCCAACUACGUGCCAGCCGCCGCCGUAA
This 478-nucleotide ribosomal RNA is filed under the name uncultured bacterium. Its description in RNAcentral is "partial 16S ribosomal RNA". It matches the Rfam family "Bacterial small subunit ribosomal RNA", at positions 28 to 523 of the family's 1533-position model. The record is from RNAcentral.